RNAcentral lists this ribosomal RNA (468 nucleotides) under uncultured Bacillota bacterium. RNAcentral's name for it is "bacterial SSU rRNA". It matches the Rfam family "Bacterial small subunit ribosomal RNA", at positions 8 to 459 of the family's 1533-position model. Lineage: Bacteria; Bacillati; Bacillota. The record is from RNAcentral.
AGAGUUUGAUCAUGGCUCAGGAUGAACGCUGGCGGCGUGCUUAACACAUGCAAGUCGAGCGAGAAGUUUCAUGACAAUUCUUCGGAUGCGGAUUGAAACGGAAAGCGGCGGACGGGUGAGUAACGCGUAGGCAACCUGCCUCACACAAAGGGAUAGCAUCUGGAAACGGAUAUUAAUACCUUAUGACACCUUAGGUUCACAUGAACCCUAGGUCAAAGAUUUAUCGGUGUGAGAUGGGCCUGCGUUUGAUUCGCUAGUUGGUAGGGUAACGGCCUACCAAGGCGACGAUCAAUAGCCGACCUGAGAGGGUGAUCGGCCACACUGGAACUGAGACACGGUCCAGACUCCUACGGGAGGCAGCAGUGGGGAAUAUUGCACAAUGGGCGCAAGCCUGAUGCAGCAACGCCGCGUGAGUGAUGAAGGCUUUCGGGUCGUAAAACUCUGUCCUAAGGGAAGAAUAAAGGGACG